GACGAACGUUGGCGGCGUGCUUAAUACAUGCAAGUCAACUGAAGCAGUGGUAGCAAUAUCGCUGUGGAGGUGGCGCACGGGUGAGUAACACGUAGGUAAUCUGCCUUCAGGUCUGGCAUAACUCCGGGAAACCGGGGCUAAUAGCAGAUGAUGCAGCGGCUCGACAUCGAGACAGUUGUUAAAGCUAUGGCGCCUGAAGAUGAGCCUGCGUCUGAUUAGCUAGUUGGCGGGGUAACGGCCCACCAAGGCAACGAUCAGUAGCUGGUCUGAGAGGAUGAUCAGCCACACUGGAACUGAGACACGGUCCAGACUCCGACGGGAGGCAGCAGUAAGGAAUAUUGCUCAAUGGGAGAAAUCCUGAAGCAGCAACGCCGCGUGAGAGACGAAGGGCUUUUGCUUGUAAACCUCUGUAGUGAGAGAAAAAAAUCCCAAUCUUUGGGACAUGAUGGUAUCUCAAAAGUAAGCCCCGGCUAACUACGUG
Molecule: ribosomal RNA, 481 nt
Filed under: uncultured bacterium
Lineage: Bacteria
Description: partial 16S ribosomal RNA
Rfam family: Bacterial small subunit ribosomal RNA
Source: RNAcentral